AUUCCUGUGUGAUUCCAGACACAGAAACAUCAGCAAACAUCUCAACACAUGUUGGAACAGAUCUUAAGUAAAAUAAAAAAAAGCAAGAACAAGAACCAGCAGACCUACCUUUAGAUUCUUGGUCCUCUGCCAGGACAUCAUCAGGUGAGGGUUCCUGCUGUAGAGGGAAGCAUGUGCAUGGAGCGUGGAGUCUAAGAACCACCCAGCAGAGGAGUAGCCUUGAGAGCAUGGUCAGCCUGGUGCUUGGAACAGUGAGAGGAACCAAAACUCAAUAAAUGAACACUGAGAGAAAGACUUAGAGUGGAACACAUCUUCCUCUGUGCAACACUGGAUAGGAGCAGAAACAACAGAGGGGAUGAUGAAAACAGAAGCUAGUAUUUCUUAAAUUAAAGUAAUAGAUAACUGAAACACAGCUUAAU
Molecule: long non-coding RNA, 419 nt
Organism: Astyanax mexicanus (Mexican tetra)
Lineage: Eukaryota; Metazoa; Chordata; Actinopteri; Characiformes; Acestrorhamphidae
Exons: 4
Source: RefSeq, a predicted model, not a curated record